UAGUAUAAUAUAAAAUAACUAUCAGUUCAUUAAAAAAAAACGUAAAAGAAUAACGAAAGUACGGACAAUCGGUAAAUCCCGGGAUUUUAAUUUCCGGGACUUACUCAUGCAACCCUAUUACAUUUUAUCAGUGUACAUUUUUAGGGUUCCGUACCCAAAGGGUAAAAACGGGACCCUAUUACUAAGACUUCGCUGUCCGUCCGUCCGUCUGUCAUCAGGCUGUAUCUCAUGAACCGUGCUAGGCAGUUGAAAUUUUCACAGAUGAUGUAUUUCUGUUGCCGCUAUAACAACAAAUACUAAAAACAGAAUAAAAUAAAUAUUUAAGUGGGGCUCACAUACAACAAACGUGACUUUUUUGCCGUUUUU
This is a long non-coding RNA of Cydia fagiglandana, 366 nucleotides long. RefSeq lists it as uncharacterized. NCBI's taxonomy places the organism in Eukaryota, Metazoa, Arthropoda, Insecta, Lepidoptera, Tortricidae. The record is from RefSeq and is a predicted model, not a curated record. The transcript has 2 exons.